RNAcentral lists this ribosomal RNA (242 nucleotides) under uncultured bacterium. Its description in RNAcentral is "partial small subunit ribosomal RNA". It matches the Rfam family "Bacterial small subunit ribosomal RNA", at positions 26 to 285 of the family's 1533-position model. The record is from RNAcentral.
AGAAUCAACGCUGGCGGCGUGCCUAACACAUGCAAGUCGAACGAGAAAGUGGAGCAAUCCAUGAGUAAAGUGGCGCACGGGUGAGUAACACGUGACUAACCUACCCUUGAGUGGGGAUAACCUCGGGAAACCGGGCUAAUACCGCAUAAUAUCGAGAGAUCAAAGGAGCAAUUCGCUUAAGGAGGGGUCGCGGCUGAUUAGCUAGUUGGUGAGGUAAUGGCUCACCAAGGCUAUGAUCAGUA